AGGAUUUUAGUUUAUAAAAACAUUUGACUUGCAUUCAAAAAAUAUUGAUUAUAUCAAUUUAUCUUA
Molecule: transfer RNA, 66 nt
Filed under: Iotaphora admirabilis
Lineage: Eukaryota; Metazoa; Arthropoda; Insecta; Lepidoptera; Geometridae
Description: tRNA-Ala
Rfam family: tRNA
About the family: Transfer RNA (tRNA) molecules are approximately 80 nucleotides in length. Their secondary structure includes four short double-helical elements and three loops (D, anti-codon, and T loops).
Source: RNAcentral